UCCGGUUUGACACCGGCAGUCUGGCUAGAGUUCCCGACUUGACUCGCUGGCAACUAACCACAGGGGUUGCGCUCGUUAUAGGACUUAACCUGACACCUCACGGCACGAGCUGACGACAACCAUGCAGCACCUUGUAAUCUGCCCGAAGGAGGGGGUGUUUCCACCCCUGUCAGACUACAUUUAAGCCCUGGUAAGGUUCCUCGCGUAUCAUCGAAUUAAACCACAUGCUCCACCGCUUGUGCGGGCCCCCGUCAAUUCCUUUGAGUUUCAUUCUUGCGAACGUACUCCCCAGGUGGGUUACUUAUCACUUUCGCUUAGCCACUCAGUCUUACGACCAAACAGCUAGUAACCAUCGUUUACGGCGUAGACUAC
Molecule: unclassified non-coding RNA, 372 nt
Filed under: uncultured Flavobacteriaceae bacterium
Lineage: Bacteria; Pseudomonadati; Bacteroidota; Flavobacteriia; Flavobacteriales; Flavobacteriaceae
Description: contains 16S-23S intergenic spacer region
Source: RNAcentral